Molecule: ribosomal RNA, 253 nt
Filed under: uncultured bacterium
Lineage: Bacteria
Also listed under: 1 other name
Description: partial 16S ribosomal RNA
Rfam family: Bacterial small subunit ribosomal RNA
Source: RNAcentral
UACGUAGGGCGCAAGCGUUGUCCGGAAUUAUUGGGCGUAAAGAGCUCGUAGGCGGUUUGUCGCGUCUGUCGUGAAAGCUUGGGGCUUAACCCUAAGUCUGCGGUGGAUACGGGCAGACUAGAGGCAGGUAGGGGAGAACGGAAUUCCCGGUGUAGCGGUGAAAUGCGCAGAUAUCGGGAGGAACACCGGUGGCGAAGGCGGUUCUCUGGGCCUGUACUGACGCUGAGGAGCGAAAGCGUGGGGAGCGAACAGG